AUUGAACGCUGGCGGCAGGCCUAACACGUGCAAGUCGGACGGUGGCGCAGAGAGCUUGCUCUCGGGUGACGAGUGGCGGACGGGUGAGUAAUGUCUGGGGAUCUGCCCGAUAGAGGGGGAUAACCACUGGAAACGGUGGCUAAUACCGCAUAACGUCGCGAGACCAAAGAGGGGGACCUUCGGGCCUCUCACUAUCGGAUGAACCCAGAUGGGAUUAGCUAGUAGGCGGGGUAACGGCCCACCUAGGCGACGAUCCCUAGCUGGUCUGAGAGGAUGACCAGCCACACUGGAACUGAGACACGGUCCAGACUCCUACGGGAGGCAGCAGUGGGGAAUAUUGCACAAUGGGCGCAAGCCUGAUGCAGCCAUGCCGCGUGUAUGAAGAAGGCCUUCGGGUUGUAAAGUACUUUCAGCGGGGAGGAAGGCAGUGAGGUUAAUAACCUUACUGAUUGACGUUACCCGCAGAAGAAGCACCGGCUAACUCCGUGCCAGCAGCCGCGGUAAUACGGAGGGUGCAAGCGUUAAUCGGAAUUACUGGGCGUAAAGCGCACGCAGGCGGUCUGUUAAGUCAGAUGUGAAAUCCCCGGGCUUAACCUGGGAACUGCAUUUGAAACUGGCAGGCUUGAGUCUCGUAGAGGGGGGUAGAAUUCCAGGUGUAGCGGUGAAAUGCGUAGAGAUCUGGAGGAAUACCGGUGGCGAAAGGCGGCCCCCUGGACGAAGACUGACGCUC
RNAcentral lists this ribosomal RNA (730 nucleotides) under uncultured Pantoea sp. RNAcentral's name for it is "bacterial SSU rRNA". It matches the Rfam family "Bacterial small subunit ribosomal RNA", at positions 28 to 748 of the family's 1533-position model. The record is from RNAcentral. Lineage: Bacteria; Pseudomonadati; Pseudomonadota; Gammaproteobacteria; Enterobacterales; Erwiniaceae.